GAUUCUUUCCUUCCUUCCAAGAUCUUAGCUACCAAGGGCCGUGCAAUUCUGAAGCCACGCACGUCUGUCUUUACGGCUAAUUGGGGAGAGACUGCCUCAAAUACAGAGGCAGAGAAAUAGAAAGGAGAUACAAUACAAUACAAUACAAUACAAUACAGAGAAAAAGAAAGGAGGCAGAAAAGGAGAGAGGAAAACCUGACAAUACUGUCUAAAUCCCUGGAUCUUUAACUCGUAGACCCAAAGGACUUGGCCAGGGAGUCCAGAAAUCCGCCCCCACCCCGCCUUUUUCAACGGACGCCAGUUUGAGCCGGUGAUUCUGUCGCUCCGAACAGCAAGAUUCCUGGUUACUAUGCGUUCCUUCCAACGGCUGCGGAGGCAUCAUCAACUUCACAACUCUGCUGAGGACCCCGGCAGUGAGGAAAAAGAGGCCAGGUACACGGACUCAGGCGCCUGACCGAGUCCAGCCUGGCCCAGCUCAGUUAGUGCUACGCGCGAAAUUGCCGCCCCCCCUGCUUCUCGAAGCCACGUAGAUCUGACUCAGCCAGUUCUGCAGAAACCAAUCGUUUCCACCAGACUCACCCCCGGAGGCGUGCGCUGAGUUACCUGGGAAUUACCUCUCUGCCAGAACAUCCUCCCAGAAAAAUAAAAAAGAAAUAAAAGGAAUGUGUUCAAUGGAUAAACCAUUCUGUACCUGGCUCAUCUUCUUGGCUGUAUGACCUUGGGCAAGUCCUCAAAACCCACCAAGUAGAUGCCACUUUCCGAUUUUUCAAGAUGAAGGAAACUGAAGAUCAGACAGCUUAAGCGACUUGUUCAAAUACAAAGAGUCCACCGGCUUCUUCUCCUUUGACUCAUGAAUCCUUCCUAACCGUCUCAUUGAACAGUAUGCUACAAAGAUCGUGCAACAUCCUUCAUCAUAUUAAGACGAGUUUUGACUUGUCCCCACUUAACAUGUGAUGGAAAGCUGGUGGAUUUACCUUAAAUUAUUUAUGAAACAGAGAACAAAAAACAUGAGUCGGUUUCAGGACAGAGUUUUACUAUAUGUUGCAAGGCAUAAAAAAAAAAAAAGACAAAACAACCUCCCUUUAUGAGCUGAUGUUUAGAAUGCUAAAUUCUGUGCUGAUUUUUUUAAAACAUAUAAUUGUUGUUCUAAAUGACAAGAUGUAAGAAAAGGUUUCCGGCUGAUAUUUGCAAGCACAUCUCUCUGCAAAUAACACAUUGCAGGUGUGGAGAGUCAUUACUCCCAAUAAAUGCAAAGCAAAAUUGUGUAUAAUUGUUGCUAUACGUUCUGUUUUUUACUUUAGUUUUGAAGCGCUCCCUGUAAGACUUUUAUCGGAUGAAUGCCACUCUCAAAUCUGGGGAAGGUCAGCCUCGGGUGAAUUUGCUGAUUUAUUAUCGGAUUCUUGUUCCUCAUGAAUUGCUGCUCUCAGUAUCCCUGCUCUGUAUGUAUGCCUGUUUUCAAAUAAUGGUCCAUUACAGGUGUACAUUAGAUAAUCUAUGAUGGGGGGCGGGGGGUGUUGCAAAGAGCCAAUGUGUCCCAACAGCUUACCCUGGCUGUAAGGGUCAUUGGAUUCCCCGGUCUCCAGUCGGGUCUUGCCCAACCUUGCCAGAACAUACUGCAACUUUGCACGGGCCCCAAGGUCUUCAAGCGUGAGAGCUGGCCUUGCCGGACAAACUCUUGCCAACGGCUGGACUUCAUUAGUCUGUUCAUUCCCCCCACACUGAUGCGUCUGCCUUCCGAACACAGGAAAGGGCAAGGGAAUGGAUCCGUCCCCCAGAGCGUAAGCUCACAUGGCGAGUCUAGAACCAUCUGGCCCCGUACACUUCUCCACAGGUUGAGGAGAGCACAGGGGGACCCCGACUUCUCCUGCUGUUUCCUUCCACUGACAAAGACUCUGUCCUUACCUAUGCCGUAGGACAGUGAGAUGGUCUCGAAUCCCGGUACCCGUGGUGACAGCUGGUGAUGCUGAAAGGGCCCCCCACCCCCACCCCGCCAGCGUGAUGACAAAGCAUAAAAACAACUUAAAAGUGCAGAAUAGCCCUAAUGAGGGGCAGACAAAAAGCAGUGGGCAGGAAGUGGUUCAUCAGGAGAAUUAAGGCCCUUGCCCCCAAUGAGGUCUGUAGGUAAAGCUAAUUAUCUGCAAUGACUCAGGGGCAAAGCGUGGCUGAAAAGAGCAGGAACUAAAGCCUGUUGAGAGCCCGUGACUGAGCUGGGUUGAAAGGGGAAGAGAAAUAUGUCCUGGGAGCCACACGAGAAGGGGAAAAGGCCUGCAGAGGACACAAGCCACACAGGGGUGUUCUGUGGGGGUCUCCCUUACCUCUAGCUGCCUGGGUCCCGGAAGGGAAGUGAGUCACUUUCUGAUAACUCACAAUCGAUUGAGGUCCGUCAAGAUUUUUAAAAACUAUUUUGUAAUUUUUUUUUUUUUGAGAGAGAGAGAGAGAAUGCAUGUGAGCAGCGGAAGGGCAGAGAGAGA
This is a long non-coding RNA of Felis catus (domestic cat), 2471 nucleotides long. RefSeq lists it as uncharacterized. The transcript is spliced from 4 exons. The record is from RefSeq and is a predicted model, not a curated record. NCBI's taxonomy places the organism in Eukaryota, Metazoa, Chordata, Mammalia, Carnivora, Felidae.